This 479-nucleotide ribosomal RNA is filed under the name uncultured bacterium. Its description in RNAcentral is "partial 16S ribosomal RNA". It matches the Rfam family "Bacterial small subunit ribosomal RNA", at positions 28 to 507 of the family's 1533-position model. The record is from RNAcentral.
GAUGAACGCUGGCGGCGUGCUUAACACAUGCAAGUCGAACGAAGCACUUUAACCUGAUUCUUCGGAUGAAGGUUUUUGUGCCUGAGUGGCGGACGGGUGAGUAACGCGUGGGUAACCUGCCUCAUACAGGGGGAUAACAGUUAGAAAUGACUGCUAAUACCGCAUAAGACCACAGAGCCGCAUGGCUCGGUGGGAAAAACUCCGGUGGUAUGAGAUGGACCCGCGUCUGAUUAGGUAGUUGGUGGGGUAACGGCCUACCAAGCCAACGAUCAGUAGCCGACCUGAGAGGGUGACCGGCCACAUUGGGACUGAGACACGGCCCAAACUCCUACGGGAGGCAGCAGUGGGGAAUAUUGCACAAUGGGGGAAACCCUGAUGCAGCGACGCCGCGUGAGCGAAGAAGUAUUUCGGUAUGUAAAGCUCUAUCAGCAGGGAAGAAAAUGACGGUACCUGACUAAGAAGCACCGGCUAAAUACGUG